Small nucleolar RNA from Oryctolagus cuniculus (rabbit), 119 nucleotides. Lineage: Eukaryota; Metazoa; Chordata; Mammalia; Lagomorpha; Leporidae. The record is from Ensembl.
UGGUUUUUACCAAGGCUUUUAGAAUGUAAUUUCUCAUUUGCUGUGGACAUGACCACAAAAAAAUUUCUCACCAGGCUUUCUCUACUACCUUGAUAGCAAUCAGCCUUUUGGGAACAUUU